This 68-nucleotide small RNA is filed under the name Sinorhizobium meliloti 2011. Its description in RNAcentral is "putative ncRNA". Lineage: Bacteria; Pseudomonadati; Pseudomonadota; Alphaproteobacteria; Hyphomicrobiales; Rhizobiaceae. The record is from RNAcentral.
UCCGAUCGAGAUGAGGUUGGCGCGCAGCUCUUCGUUGAGCUGGUUGUCCGGCGCGCGCAGAUCUUCGA